GACGACCGCUGGCGGCGUGCUUAACACAUGCAAGUCGAACGAAGUGGCGAACGGGUGAGUAACGCGUAAUCAACCUGCCCUUCAGAGGGGGACAACAGUUGGAAACGACUGCUAAUACCGCAUACUGAAGGAGGGGAUUGCGUCUGAUGAGCUAGUUGGAGGGGUAACGGUCCACCAAGGCGAUGAUCAGUAGCCGGUCUGAGGGGAUGAGCGGCCACAGUUGACCUGAGACACGGCCCAGACUCCUACGGGAGGAAGCAGUGGGGAAGCUUCCGCAAUGGAAGAAAGUCUGACGAAGCAACGCCGCGUGAGUGAUGACGGCCUUCGGGUUGUAAAGCUCUGUUAAUCGGUACGCGGUACCGGAAUAGAAAGCCACGGCUAACUACGUGCCAGCAGCCGCGGUAAUUC
Molecule: ribosomal RNA, 408 nt
Filed under: uncultured bacterium
Lineage: Bacteria
Description: partial 16S ribosomal RNA
Rfam family: Bacterial small subunit ribosomal RNA
Source: RNAcentral